Molecule: ribosomal RNA, 691 nt
Filed under: Shigella sp.
Lineage: Bacteria; Pseudomonadati; Pseudomonadota; Gammaproteobacteria; Enterobacterales; Enterobacteriaceae
Description: bacterial SSU rRNA
Rfam family: Bacterial small subunit ribosomal RNA
Source: RNAcentral
UCGCUGACGAGUGGCGGACGGGUGAGUAAUGUCUGGGAAACUGCCUGAUGGAGGGGGAUAACUACUGGAAACGGUAGCUAAUACCGCAUAACGUCGCAAGACCAAAGAGGGGGACCUUCGGGCCUCUUGCCAUCGGAUGUGCCCAGAUGGGAUUAGCUUGUUGGUGGGGUAACGGCUCACCAAGGCGACGAUCCCUAGCUGGUCUGAGAGGAUGACCAGCCACACUGGAACUGAGACACGGUCCAGACUCCUACGGGAGGCAGCAGUGGGGAAUAUUGCACAAUGGGCGCAAGCCUGAUGCAGCCAUGCCGCGUGUAUGAAGAAGGCCUUCGGGUUGUAAAGUACUUUCAGCGGGGAGGAAGGGAGUAAAGUUAAUACCUUUGCUCAUUGACGUUACCCGCAGAAGAAGCACCGGCUAACUCCGUGCCAGCAGCCGCGGUAAUACGGAGGGUGCAAGCGUUAAUCGGAAUUACUGGGCGUAAAGCGCACGCAGGCGGUUUGUUAAGUCAGAUGUGAAAUCCCCGGGCUCAACCUGGGAACUGCAUCUGAUACUGGCAAGCUUGAGUCUCGUAGAGGGGGGUAGAAUUCCAGGUGUAGCGGUGAAAUGCGUAGAGAUCUGGAGGAAUACCGGUGGCGAAAGCGGCCCCCUGGACGAAGACUGACGCUCAGUGCGAAAGCGUGGGGAGCAAAC